This 622-nucleotide long non-coding RNA is filed under the name Homo sapiens (human). Its description in RNAcentral is "PREDICTED lncRNA (TCONS_00133836)". Lineage: Eukaryota; Metazoa; Chordata; Mammalia; Primates; Hominidae. The record is from RNAcentral.
CACUCCGCAGAGGCCCGAGCGGGCUCGCGAGGGAACGGGUUCUCCGAGUCUGGCCGGCCACAACAACUGGAUUCUCUUUUCUGAUUUUUGCUGCAGCUUCUGCUUUGUAAUCAUACGGACAGUUGUGCUUGUCAGAGUUAACGGUGAAGUCCACAAAACAAAUUUCCACAUCGGCAGUCAAACCUGUGGGUCAUUGGAGUGGUCCUGAGCUGGAGAAGCAAAAGAAGAGUUAGCGAUCCAUGGAAAUGCAAAGCUGACUUCAGGGUCCUGUGUCAUUCCUUGUGACACUGAGUAGAGUGAGGGUCCUGUUGCCAUUGGACAGCUGCAGCCUGGGACUGACCGGGAGGCUCUGAUUGUUUAUCCACCACAGACCAGGAUCUCCCCUCUGGGCUGCAGAUGCCUAAGAAGAAAGGAACUGAACCAACUCUGGUAUUGGGGUCCACAGAUGCCAAAUAAGGCCCCUGGAGUAGAGGAGAGGUUAAGACUGUGGCUGAAGACAAAUCUCCUGUAACUGAUCUUCCAGUUACGGUCUGUGUGACCUUGAUAUAGUGACUGUAUUUAUUGCCAUGUGGCUCAGUUUCCCCUCAGUGAAAUAGUAUAAAUGGUUAAUGGUUUUGGCUUA